UCCCUGAGACGGUUUCUGACAGUUUGUAUAGAAAUUAUUUGAUUGCGUAAACCCACAGAUUCAUUAGCUGUCCAGGUGGCUGGUCUCAGACCAUACCACAGGUGAAGAAGCCAAAUGUGGAGGUCCUGGGCUGGCGUGGUUACAUGUGGUCUGUGGUUGUGAGGCCGGUUGGGCGUACUGUCAAAUUCUCUAAAGUGACGUUGGAGGCAGAUGAUUGUAGAGAAAUUGACAUAAAAGUAUCUGGCAAAAACUCUGGUGGACUUUCCUCCAGUCAGCAUGCCGAUUGCACGCUUCCUCAAAACAUGAGACAUCUGUGGCAUUGUGUUGUGUGACAACUGCACAUUUUAGAGUGGCUUUUUUAGGUCCGUAGCACAAGGUGUACCUGUGGAAUGAUCAUGCUGUUUAAUCAGCUUCUUGAUAUGUCACACCUGUCAGGUGGAUGGAUUAUCUUGGCAAACGAGAAAUGCUCCCUAACAGGCCCAGGCAUGGAUCAAAGCUGGUGAGACAUUCAAUGACGUCAUCUUCACAGACGAAUCAACUGUGGCCCUUCAGCAAUUUGCUCAAAAUUGCUACAGAAAAAAAGGAAGAAGAUCAAGCAUCCCUCAAACUCUAUGUGUGGGGGGCAAUUUCUCGCCAGGGACCAGGCCCAUAUUAGCUUACUGUCACGUUCUGACCUUAGUUCCUUUGUUUUCUCUUUUGUUUUAGUAUGGUCAGGGCGUGAGUUGGGUGGGUAGUCUAUGUUAGUUUUUCUAUGAUUUUCUAUUUCUGUGUUUGGCCUGGUAUGGUUCUCAAUCAGAGGCAGCUGUCAAUCGUUGUCCCUGAUUGAGAACCAUAUUUAGGUAGCCCUUUUUCUAUUGUGUUCUGUGGGUGGUUAUUUUCCGUGUUUGUGCCACACGGGACUGUUUCUGUCUUUCACUUUGUUAUUUUGUAUAGUGUUCAGUUUGUAUUAUUAAAAUGGACGCAUACCACUCUGCAAA
Oncorhynchus keta (chum salmon) is the source of this 977-nucleotide long non-coding RNA. RefSeq lists it as uncharacterized. The transcript is spliced from 2 exons. NCBI's taxonomy places the organism in Eukaryota, Metazoa, Chordata, Actinopteri, Salmoniformes, Salmonidae. The record is from RefSeq and is a predicted model, not a curated record.